ACGAAGGGGGCUAGCGUUGCUCGGAAUUACUGGGCGUAAAGCGCACGUAGGCGGAUAGUUAAGUUGGGGGUGAAAUCCUGGAGCUCAACUCCAGAACUGCCUCCAAAACUGGCGAUCUUGAGUUCGGGAGAGGUGAGUGGAACUGCGAGUGUAGAGGUGAAAUUCGUAGAUAUUCGCAAGAACACCAGUGGCGAAGGCGGCUCACUGGCCCGAUACUGACGCUGAGGUGCGAAAGCGUGGGGAGCAAACAGG
Molecule: ribosomal RNA, 252 nt
Filed under: uncultured bacterium
Lineage: Bacteria
Description: partial 16S ribosomal RNA
Rfam family: Bacterial small subunit ribosomal RNA
Source: RNAcentral